Long non-coding RNA from Bombyx mori (domestic silkworm), 516 nucleotides. RefSeq lists it as uncharacterized. The record is from RefSeq and is a predicted model, not a curated record. NCBI's taxonomy places the organism in Eukaryota, Metazoa, Arthropoda, Insecta, Lepidoptera, Bombycidae. The transcript is spliced from 2 exons.
AUUUCAAUUAUUUCUAAACGGUUUACGUUUUGUUACAACUCAUUUAAUGAAAUAGUUUUGUAACAAAAAUGCUUUAUUACAAAAUACAAAUGAUGAAAACAAAUUUCUCGAGCACUGAUUUAAUUCUUGCACCGUGCAUAUCGACUAGUGCGGCAACCAUCUGCAUACGAGAAGCAAGUGCGAAUAUUCAAGAUAAAAUAGGCAAUAUGCCGGCAACAGAAUUAUUCUUACAACAUUAGAUCAGCAACUCGAAACGCCUGAACUCAAGCAAUAUUGGUCACCGACGCGACAAAUCAAAACUCAUCCAAUAUAUGUACUAGCAAAGAGCAAGAUAAUGUUAAUUAGUAUAUUAAUCACCUAAACAUUGGAACGUAAUGACUGUAGUAGCUAUAACAAACGGUAGACAACAAUUGAUUCAAGUUUACCAGUUCCAGCAAGCGUUGAAAAACAACAGUCAUUCCCAACUCCAACUGAGUUCGUUUUAGGAAAACAAUAAAAUUAAAUUGUUAAUUGAAA